Molecule: ribosomal RNA, 406 nt
Filed under: uncultured bacterium
Lineage: Bacteria
Description: bacterial SSU rRNA
Rfam family: Bacterial small subunit ribosomal RNA
Source: RNAcentral
CAGCGUUUGACAUCCCGAUCGCGAUUUCCAGAGAUGGAUUUCUUCAGUUCGGCUGGAUCGGUGACAGGUGCUGCAUGGCUGUCGUCAGCUCGUGUCGUGAGAUGUUGGGUUAAGUCCCGCAACGAGCGCAACCCUCGUCCUUAGUUGCCAUCAUUUAGUUGGGCACUCUAAGGAAACCGCCGGUGAUAAGCCGGAGGAAGGUGGGGAUGACGUCAAGUCCUCAUGGCCCAUACACGCUGGGCUACACACGUGCUACAAUGGCGGUGACAGUGGGCAGCAAACUCGCGAGGGUGAGCUAAUCUCCAAAAGCCGUCUCAGUUCGGAUUGUUCUCUGCAACUCGAGAGCAUGAAGGCGGAAUCGCUAGUAAUCGCGGAUCAGCACGCCGCGGUGAAUACGUUCCCAGGC